UACGUAGGGUGCGAGCGUUGUCCGGAAUUAUUGGGCGUAAAGGGCUCGUAGGCGGUUUUGUCGCGUCGGGGAGUGAAAACACCGGGCUUAACUCGGUGCUGGCUUUCGAUACGGGCAGACUAGAGGUAUUCAGGGGAGAACGGAAUUCCUGGUGUAGCGGUGAAAUGCGUUGAGAUCGGAAGGAACGCCCGUGGCGAAAGCGAGGUCCUGGACGUUUACUGACGCUGAGACGCGAAAGCGUGGGGAGCAAACAGG
Molecule: ribosomal RNA, 255 nt
Filed under: uncultured bacterium
Lineage: Bacteria
Description: partial 16S ribosomal RNA
Rfam family: Bacterial small subunit ribosomal RNA
Source: RNAcentral